This 301-nucleotide ribosomal RNA is filed under the name uncultured bacterium. Its description in RNAcentral is "partial 16S ribosomal RNA". It matches the Rfam family "Bacterial small subunit ribosomal RNA", at positions 509 to 809 of the family's 1533-position model. The record is from RNAcentral.
CAGUAGCCGCGGUAAUACGGAGGGUGCAAGCGUUAAUCGGAAUUACUGGGCGUAAAGCGUGCGUAGGCGGUUCGUUAAGUCUGAUGUGAAAGCCCCGGGCUCAACCUGGGAAUGGCAAUGGAUACUGGCGAGCUAGAGUGUGUCAGAGGAUGGUGGAAUUCCCGGUGUAGCGGUGAAAUGCGUAGAGAUCGGGAGGAACAUCAGUGGCGAAGGCGGCCAUCUGGGACAACACUGACGCUGAGGCACGAAAGCGUGGGGAGCAAACAGGAUUAGAGACCCGUGUAGUCCCUGUCCUCUUAUA